Molecule: non-coding RNA, 73 nt
Organism: Trichonephila clavipes
Lineage: Eukaryota; Metazoa; Arthropoda; Arachnida; Araneae; Nephilidae
Source: the annotation of a GenBank genome assembly
ACCCCUGUAGCGUAAUGGAUAGCGCGUUGGACUUUUAAUCCAAAGGUUGUGUGCUCGAAUCCCACCUGGAAUG